This 64-nucleotide transfer RNA is filed under the name Dalcantha dilatata. RNAcentral's name for it is "tRNA-Gly". The record is from RNAcentral. Lineage: Eukaryota; Metazoa; Arthropoda; Insecta; Hemiptera; Tessaratomidae.
AUCUUUUUAGUAUAAUAAAUAUAAUUAACUUCCAAUUAAUAGAUCUCUUAAAAGAGAAAAGAUA